UUGGGGACUCCUAAAUUUUGAUAGAUUUCAUUAAAAUCUCAAUUGAUAACACCUAAAUAUACAAGGAUUUUUAAAAUCCAUCACAAUUUCAAUUGAGAAUAGCCCCUAAAUUAAGAAUCAUAUUAGUUUUCUCAAUUAAAAGUAUAGAUAAAACAAUCAUUUUGACCUUAUCAAACAAAUCAUUUGCGAAAAAAAGUAGAAAUAUAGUUUUGAUAUGAAGGAACGGUACAAUAUUUAGAGCAAAAUACUUAUUUGAGAAAAACAUACAAGUGCAAGAAUUUUGGGACAGUGAAGACCAAUCAAGAUAACAGAGUUCCGACUUUUCACCGAUUCUACGAAUGAAAAAACAGAGUCCAUGAAAUGUACAAUUUAUAUAUACACAAUGAGCAUGCCAUAUAUAAGUUUCUCUCUGUGCCUGUGUUUGUGUUUCUUCAAUUAAUUCUUUGUCAGAUUUAUAUUUCACAAUUUUUAUUCUAUGUCAAUCGAACUUUUGCUUUACUUGUUUCACAAAGAAAUAAAGUCAGACAAAUGCUAAGUGAUCGUGCUUUCCAUAUUUGUUUCUAGAAGCAUGUCUAUAUAUAUAUAUAUCUCAAAUGAGGUAGUUGUGUAUAGAUUUGUUAAGAAAACCAUAAGGGAAAAAUUGCUCACCCGACCAGUAAAUCUAAAAUAAUAUACAAGGACAAAUAAAAAUGAAUCCCGGGAUCAAUUUGUAUUGGAAGAAAAACUAAUUCCAUCAACAAGAAUUUUAUAAUCAAUAUCAACUAUCCCUUUUCUAUUAUUGGUUUUUUGUUUUACUUUUUAACUAGUUAUUGUUACUGUUUAAUUUCACAGAAUGGUGUCGACUUAACAAACAUGAGAAGCUAGGCAUUAUACACUCUUUAAUUCCACAGAAUAUCAAGAAUUCGUACACAUAAAAGAGGACAAGCCUUUAGAAGUGAAUGAUUUGGUCAAAGAGAAACUACAAAAAAGUAGUUCAAAAUGUAGUGAAGUAAUCGACUCUUUCUUCGAUUCUCUUUGAAAGUGCCACCUUCACUAUUUUCUUUGUGAAUUUUUUGGGAGCAUUGAUGAGUAACCUUUGUGGUCACCGAAAGGUGUUGUUUUGCCAUAGUGAGUUUGAGAUGCAUUAGCAGUGAGUUGGAUGUCUUUUGGCAAGGUGGAGUAUAGAUGCCUAGAGGUGCAUUGAUGAUAUGCACGAGGGAUGUAGAGUGUGACAUUUGGAUCACGAGUGGAGAUGUGAUCAAAUGUGUUCCUUUAUCUGUGAAAGAGACCCUGUACAGGUGGAGUGUGAGAGAGACACUUCUAUCACUUCUGUAAGGUGGAAUCUCAUUAUCUACAUAGGUUAGGAGAAAUGACGUGGUGAUAGAGAAUUAUUCCUGAGCUUAGGAUCUAUUGUGACUUGCCAAUUAGAUAUGAGUUAAGUGAUUGGUUUAGUGAGCAUGGUGGACGAUGAGAGGAGAUAUGUAUUCUCGAGGUGGGAGUAACACGGAAUGGGAUAGGAUAAAUGUGGUGAGAUUUUUCAUAGGGUCAUUUAUGCAUUUGUUGCAUAUGUGCAUGACCGUGUGUUGAUUAACUAAGUGUUAAUUUGUGGUUUUGUGUGAACGUAGUUUUGAAAAGAUCUCUGUGUGUGUUAUCCUAUAUAUAUCUUCAUUACAUGAUUGUUUGUUCACUGUGAAUACUUGUUUCUACUUGGGUGUUCUUGACCUUAGCCCUGGUGAGUACAUGGAGCAAGUAUCGUAUGUGUUUCAAGUUGGAAACACGAGGUAAGGUCUGUUAUUCCAAUUUUAUUGGAUUAUCUUGAUUGUGCAAGUAUAAACUGUGUGUUUUGAUUGCUUGCAGAUUAUUGGGCAUCAAGGUGGAGAUUGUUGGAUUUUUUGAUACCCAAUAAUCCGGGUGAUGAUUUAAAACAGUUAUCGGAUUAUUUAUCGACACCAUGGACUUGGCUCAACUCGAAGAUGAACUACACUUUUGGAUAGUUCGGGUUUGGGUUGGAUGAUUAUUUGGUUAGUUGGACCAUUUAGUGAUUAAUAUGGAAUUGAAUAUUGGCCCGUUAGUUUAGGUUAAUUGGUAACCCGCUUAGUGAACCCUAGGCCCAAUUAGAGUGACCUAAACUAACCUAUAUAUAUGUAUUUACCUCCCAACCGUUUUUGGUGGUGUGUGUGUGUUGUAGCAAUGGAGAGGAGAGUUGAGAGAAGAGAGGCAACCGAGAGAGAGGGAAGCCAUGUGUAGUUGUGAGUGAGAUUCAACCAUUGUGAUAUCUUCGUCUUCCUCUCCAUACUUUUGUGGAUUGCUAACACCACCACCCUUCUCCUUUGUGGGGAUAGAGAGAAAGAGAGCAGUCCAAAGUGAAGG
This 2349-nucleotide long non-coding RNA is filed under the name Olea europaea subsp. europaea. Lineage: Eukaryota; Viridiplantae; Streptophyta; Magnoliopsida; Lamiales; Oleaceae. The record is from RNAcentral.